Molecule: ribosomal RNA, 484 nt
Filed under: uncultured bacterium
Lineage: Bacteria
Description: partial 16S ribosomal RNA
Rfam family: Bacterial small subunit ribosomal RNA
Source: RNAcentral
AUUGAACGCUGGCGGCAGGCCUAACACAUGCAAGUCGAGCGGAUGAAGGGAGCUUGCUCCUGGAUUCAGCGGCGGACGGGUGAGUAAUGCCUAGGAAUCUGCCUGGUAGUGGGGGAUAACGUCCGGAAACGGGCGCUAAUACCGCAUACGUCCUGAGGGAGAAAGUGGGGGAUCUUCGGACCCCACGCUAUCAGAUGAGCCUAGGUCGGAUUAGCUAGUUGGUGGGGUAAAGGCCUACCAAGGCGACGAUCCGUAACUGGUCUGAGAGGAUGAUCAGUCACACUGGAACUGAGACACGGUCCAGACUCCUACGGGAGGCAGCAGUGGGGAAUAUUGGACAAUGGGCGAAAGCCUGAUCCAGACAUGCCGCGUGUGUGAAGAAGGUCUUCGGAUUGUAAAGCACUUUAAGUUGGGAGGAAGGGCAGUAAGUUAAUACCUUGCUGUUUUGACGUUACCAACAGAAUAAGCACCGGCUAACUUCGUG